Molecule: transfer RNA, 71 nt
Filed under: Klebsiella pneumoniae
Lineage: Bacteria; Pseudomonadati; Pseudomonadota; Gammaproteobacteria; Enterobacterales; Enterobacteriaceae
Description: tRNA-Glu
Rfam family: tRNA
About the family: Transfer RNA (tRNA) molecules are approximately 80 nucleotides in length.
Source: RNAcentral
GUCCCCUUCGUCUAGAGGGACACCGCCCUUUCACGGCGGUAACAGGGGUUCGAAUCCCCUAGGGGACGCCA